Molecule: ribosomal RNA, 378 nt
Filed under: uncultured Sanguibacter sp.
Lineage: Bacteria; Bacillati; Actinomycetota; Actinomycetes; Micrococcales; Sanguibacteraceae
Description: bacterial SSU rRNA
Rfam family: Bacterial small subunit ribosomal RNA
Source: RNAcentral
AGAGAUAGAAAGUUACUUCGGUACAUCGGUGACAGGUGGUGCAUGGUUGUCGUCAGCUCGUGUCGUGAGAUGUUGGGUUAAGUCCCGCAACGAGCGCAACCCCUAUUGUUAGUUGCCAUCAUUCAGUUGGGCACUCUAGCGAGACUGCCGGUAAUAAACCGGAGGAAGUGGGGAUGACGUCAAAUCAUCAUGCCCCUUAUGUCUUGGGCUUCACGCAUGCUACAAUGGCCGGUACAAAGGGCUGCGAUACCGCGAGGUGGAGCGAAUCCCAGAAAGCCGGUCUCAGUUCGGAUUGGGGUCUGCAACUCGACCCCAUGAAGUCGGAGUCGCUAGUAAUCGCAGAUUAGCAACGCUGCGGUGAAUACGUUCCCGGGCCUU